RNAcentral lists this ribosomal RNA (566 nucleotides) under uncultured Vibrio sp. Its description in RNAcentral is "bacterial SSU rRNA". It matches the Rfam family "Bacterial small subunit ribosomal RNA", at positions 335 to 894 of the family's 1533-position model. Lineage: Bacteria; Pseudomonadati; Pseudomonadota; Gammaproteobacteria; Vibrionales; Vibrionaceae. The record is from RNAcentral.
GCUUUAGGNGAGGCAGCAGUGGGGAAAUAUUGCCAAUGGGCGCAAGCUUGAUGCAAGCCAUNCCGGGUGUAUAAAGAAGGCCUUCGGGGUUGUAAAGUACUUUCAGCAGUGAGGAAGGUGGUGUCGUUAAUAGCGGCAUCAUUUGACGUUAGCUGCAGAAGAAGCACCGGCAUAACUCCGUGCCAGCAGCCGCGGUAAUACGGAGGGUGCGAGCGUUAAUCGGAAUUACUGGGCGUAAAGCGCAUGCAGGUGGUUUGUUAAGUCAGAUGUGAAAGCCCGGGGCUCAACCUCGGAAUUGCAUUUGAAACUGGCAGACUAGAGUACUGUAGAGGGGGGUAGAAUUUCAGGUGUAGCGGUGAAAUGCGUAGAGAUUUGAAGGAAUACCGGUGGCGAAGGCGGCCCCCUGGACAGAUACUGACACUCAGAUGCGAAAGCGUGGGGAGCAAACAGGAUUAGAUACCCUGGUAGUCCACGCCGUAAACGAUGUCUACUUGGAGGUUGGGCCUUGAGCCGUGGCUUUCGCGAGCUAACGCGUUAAGAGACCGCCUAAGAGUACGUCGCAAGAU